Molecule: ribosomal RNA, 463 nt
Filed under: uncultured bacterium
Lineage: Bacteria
Description: SSU rRNA
Rfam family: Bacterial small subunit ribosomal RNA
Source: RNAcentral
AGAAUCAACGCUGGCGGCGUGCCUAACACAUGCAAGUCGAACGAGAAAGUGGGAGCAAUCCCACGAGUAAAGUGGCGCACGGGUGAGUAACACGUGACUAACCUACCCUUGAGUGGGGGGAUAACCUAGGGAAACCUGGGCUAAUACCGCAUAAUACCUACGGGUCAAAGGAGCAAUUCGCUUUAGGAGGGGGUCGCGGCAGAUUAGUUAGUUGGCGGGGUAAUGGCCCACCAAGACAGUGAUCUGUAUCCGGCCUGAGAGGGCGCACGGACACACUGGAACUGAAACACGGUCCAGACUCCUACGGGAGGCAGCAGUGGGGAAUUUUGCGCAAUGGGGGAAACCCUGACGCAGCAACGCCGCGUGGAGGAUGAAGCCCCUUGGGGCGUAAACUCCUUUCGAUCGGGAAGAUAAUGACGGUACCGGAAGAAGAAGCCCCGGCUAACUUCGUGCCAGCAGCCGC